This 101-nucleotide ribosomal RNA is filed under the name uncultured bacterium. RNAcentral describes it as "partial 16S ribosomal RNA". It matches the Rfam family "Bacterial small subunit ribosomal RNA", at positions 1373 to 1482 of the family's 1533-position model. The record is from RNAcentral.
CCCGGACCUUGCACACACCGCCCGUCAAGCCAUGGAAGCUGGGUGUACCUAAAGUCGGUAACCGCAAGGAGCCGCCUAUGGUAUGACUGGUGACUGGGGUG